RNAcentral lists this ribosomal RNA (424 nucleotides) under uncultured bacterium. RNAcentral describes it as "bacterial SSU rRNA". It matches the Rfam family "Bacterial small subunit ribosomal RNA", at positions 355 to 796 of the family's 1533-position model. The record is from RNAcentral.
UGGGGAAUUUUCCGCAAUGGGCGAAAGCCUGACGGAGCGACGCCGCGUGGGGGAUGAAGGUUUUCGGAUUGUAAACCCCUUUCGGCAGGGACGAUAAUGACGGUACCUGCAAAAGAAGCAUCGGCUAACUACGUGCCAGCAGCCGCGGUAAGACGUAGGAUGCAAGCGUUGUUCGGAUUUAUUGGGCGUAAAGCGUACGUAGGCGGUUCGGUAAGUGGGAGGUUAAAGACUGGGGCUCAACCCCAGGAGUGCCCCCCAAACUGUCGGACUAGAGGUUCAUAGGGGAAAGUGGAAUUCCGAGUGUAGCGGUGAAAUGCGUAGAUAUUCGGAGGAACGCCAGUGGCGAAAGCGACUUUCUGGGUGACACCUGACGCUGAGGUACGAAAGCAUGGGGAGCAAACAGGAUUAGAUACCCCCGUAGUCC